RNAcentral lists this ribosomal RNA (585 nucleotides) under uncultured rumen bacterium. RNAcentral's name for it is "bacterial SSU rRNA". It matches the Rfam family "Bacterial small subunit ribosomal RNA", at positions 37 to 634 of the family's 1533-position model. The record is from RNAcentral.
UGGCGGCACGCUUAACACAUGCAAGUCGAACGGAGAAUAUUUUGGUUUACUGAGAUAUUCUUAGUGGCGGACGGGUGAGUAACACGUGAGCAACCUGCCUUUGAGAGAGGGAUAGCUUCUGGAAACGGAUGGUAAUACCUCAUAACGUAGUUUUACCGCAUGAUAGGACUACCAAAGAUUUAUCACUCAAAGAUGGGCUCGCGUCUGAUUAGAUAGUUGGUGAGGUAACGGCUCACCCAAGUCGACGAUCAGUAGCCGGACUGAGAGGUUGAACGGCCACAUUGGGACUGAGACACGGCCCAGACUCCUACGGGAGGCAGCAGUGGGGAAUAUUGCACAAUGGGGGAAACCCUGAUGCAGCGAUGCCGCGUGGAGGAAGAAGGUUUUCGGAUUGUAAACUCCUGUCUUAAAGGACGAUAAUGACGGUACUUUAGGAGGAAGCUCCGGCUAACUACGUGCCAGCAGCCGCGGUAAUACGUAGGGAGCGAGCGUUGUCCGGAAUUACUGGGUGUAAAGGGAGCGUAGGCGGGAUUGCAAGUCAGAUGUGAAAUACAUGGGCUCAACCCAUGGGCUGCAUUUGAAACU